UAUGUGAUCGUCUCUCGCAUAUCAAUAAGCGGAGGAAAAGAAACUAACUAGGAUUCCCCUAGUAACGGCGAGUGAAGCGGGAAGAGCUCAAAUUUGAAAUCUUAAAGGGUUUCCCUUUACGAAUUGUAGUUUAAAGAAGUGUUUUCUGCUGAGGUUUUGGUAAAAGUUCUUUGGAAUAGGACAUCAUAGAGGGUGAGAAUCCCGUAUUUGACCUUUACUUUCAACUUUGUGAUACACUUUCAAAGAGUCGGAUUGUUUGGGAAUGCAGUCCAAAAUGGGUGGUAAAUUUCAUCUAAAGCUAAAUAUUGGCGAGAGACCGAUAGCGAACAAGUACCGUGAGGGAAAGAUGAAAAGAACUUUGAAAAGAGAGUUAAACAGUACGUGAAAUUGUAAAAGGGAAGCGUUUGACACCAGUGUUGUUUUUCUGAAAAUCAAUUAAAGAACUGUUUAUGCUAACUGUUUAGACUUUAUCAGCUAUCUGUUUAGUUUUGAGCUUUUCUUUAAUGCACUUUUCAGUUAACAAGUCAACAUCAAUUUCUUUUGCUGUAAAAAAGCUUGAGGAAGGUGGCUUGAGAUUCGUCUUAAGUGUUUAUAGCCUCUUGCCUAUGCAGUCGGAGAGAUUGAGGUCUGCAGCGUAGAUCCUUCGGGGCUAAAUGCAUUUGUGCUAAGUUAUAGCAUUUUAUAGACAACUUGUUGACUAUGAUUUGUCUCGUAGCUUACUCGCUUAUGUUAUUUUACCUACGCUUAGGAUGUUGACACACGCGCGUGCUCG
RNAcentral lists this ribosomal RNA (772 nucleotides) under uncultured Neocallimastigales. Its description in RNAcentral is "partial large subunit ribosomal RNA". It matches the Rfam family "Eukaryotic large subunit ribosomal RNA", at positions 24 to 643 of the family's 3401-position model. The record is from RNAcentral. Lineage: Eukaryota; Fungi; Neocallimastigomycota; Neocallimastigomycetes; Neocallimastigales.